AACACACACAAAAAAAGAGAGAGAGAGAGAGAGAGAGAGAGAGAGAGAGAGAGACCCCACAAAGAGCACUAAUCUUCACAACCCUAACUCCGAUUUUUCUCACACCUCCCAAUCUCUCUUUCUUUCUCUCUGAUGAAAAGCUAACGGAAAAUGGGGAAAUA
This 161-nucleotide small RNA is filed under the name Arabidopsis thaliana (thale cress). RNAcentral describes it as "ATSL118010". The record is from RNAcentral. Lineage: Eukaryota; Viridiplantae; Streptophyta; Magnoliopsida; Brassicales; Brassicaceae.